GUCUCAGUAGCAUAGUGGUUAGUGCACACCCCCCGAUAGAUCAAGACUCGGGUUCGAAUCCCGCCUGAGAUG
This 72-nucleotide transfer RNA is filed under the name Nippostrongylus brasiliensis. It matches the Rfam family "tRNA". Rfam says of the family: Transfer RNA (tRNA) molecules are approximately 80 nucleotides in length. The record is from Rfam by way of RNAcentral. Lineage: Eukaryota; Metazoa; Nematoda; Chromadorea; Rhabditida; Heligmosomidae.